RNAcentral lists this ribosomal RNA (254 nucleotides) under uncultured microorganism. RNAcentral's name for it is "partial 16S ribosomal RNA". It matches the Rfam family "Bacterial small subunit ribosomal RNA", at positions 524 to 776 of the family's 1533-position model. The record is from RNAcentral.
GACGUAGGGGGCGAGCGUUGUCCGGAAUUACUGGGCGUAAAGGGCGCGUAGGCGGUGGGACAAGUCCAAGGUGAAAGCCGGCGGCUCAACCGCAGGAGUGCCUUGGAGACUGUUCUGCUGAGAGGGCAGGAGAGGGAAGUGGAAUUCCCGGUGUAGCGGUGAAAUGCGUAGAUAUCGGGAGGAAUACCGGUGGCGAAGGCGCCCCUCUGGACGGUAACUGACGCUGAGGCGCGAAAGCGUGGGGAGCAAACAGG